CCUACGGGUGGCAGCAGUGAGGAAUAUUGGUCAAUGGGCGAGAGCCUGAACCAGCCAAGUCGCGUGAGGGAGUACUGCCCUAUGGGUUGUAAACCUCUUUUGUCGGGGAGCAAAAGCCGGACGUGUCCGGCUGUGAGAGUACACGAAGAAAAAGCAUCGGCUAACUCCGUGCCAGCAGCCGCGGUAAUACGGAGGAUGCGAGCGUUAUCCGGAUUUAUUGGGUGUAAAGGGUGCGCAGGCGGAUUUUUAAGUCAGCGGUAAAAUCGUGGGGCUCAACCCCAUCCAGCCGUUGAAACUGGGGAUCUAGAGUGUGCGAGAGGUAUGCGGAAUGCGUGGUGUAGCGGUGAAAUGCAUAGAUAUCACGCAGAACCCCGAUUGCGAAGGCAGCAUACCGGUGCACAACUGACGCUCAGGCACGAAAGCGUGGGUAUCGAACAGGAUUAGAUACCCUUGUAGUC
Molecule: ribosomal RNA, 458 nt
Filed under: uncultured bacterium
Lineage: Bacteria
Description: partial 16S ribosomal RNA
Rfam family: Bacterial small subunit ribosomal RNA
Source: RNAcentral